CGUUCGCAUGAUCGGUAGACAGAUAGAAAAGGCUAUAUAUUGUUUUCUUCUACGCUAAACAUUCGAACGUCGAAGCAUCGGCCUGUUGAUUGUCGAGCGCAGUGGAACGCACAUGUUUGUACACGUUCGUGUAUUAUGCAGUCGGGUUUUCUUUUGUGUGUGCCUAGGCUAUCUUGCGAGUAUCGGCGCUUUGGUUAAUUGAAUUAUUAACCUUAUUUCCCAUUAUUGCCUUGAACGGAAAGCUGUUCUGUUCCGCAAAAAGAAAAAGAGUUAGGCUCGGGCUCGAUUUCAUCAUCAUCUCUCUCUCUCUCUCUCUCUCUCUCUCUCUCUCUCUCUACAGAAGGUGGGAAAAGCCAGUUUAUUAAGAUUUGUUUCGUGUUAUUAUUACAAAAUUAGGAGCAUUAGAAAACUCAAUGAAUAUACUUCUUCCAAUGGUGAAGCAACUUAUAGUACACUUCCGACUAUUGAAAGUAUCUCAUAUGGAAGGUGUUCCCAAACUUCCAAUUGACAGUGAUGAAAAUUUGGAAGAAUUCGAAAGGUUUUUGGAUACUAAUACAAAUUUGGAGUACAUGGUUAAUACUUUAAGCAUAUCAGGUGGCACAACUGUUUCUCAGAUCAGUAGAAGGACUCUGGAAAGAAUAAUUACAAAUAAUUAUGCUAGAAAUUUUAACGGCAGGAAGAACACCGAAGAAAUCUUUCAAGAUUCUUAAAAUAAAGGACUUAGUCAUAGCUAUUGUCAAGGCUAUUGAACCAAAUGCUGCAAUAUAUGAUGUAGAAAAGUCCAUAAAAGAUUAGCUCAAAUUAGCACCUCUUCGUGUAACCUUAGCCGAUUCCAGGGCAUUGAAGACAAAUUCAAGAAAAGUAUAAUUUCUCAUCGUUUCAGUUUCGAUAUUAAUGUUUAUUUUGUAUUUACAUAUUUCUAUCCAUUCCAUUUCAAGAAUUUGAGAUUUAUUAUUUAGUAAUUUGCAGGACAAUUAGGAAUAUGUAUUAUCAUAGUAUUCUGCAAUGUACUCGCACUCGCCACUGAAACGUGUUCUCAUUGAAGCAUUAAAAUAAGUAUAUAUCUCUUUACCACCUAAUAAUGUAUCGCAAAGAUGACCGAUAAUAUAAAAGCACUGUUAGUUGUUUUGUUAUAAUGUUAUGCGUAAUACAAUUAUGUAAUUAAAAAUUAAAACCAAAAUCGAUAAAAACUUUUAGUUUAAAAACUUACAUUUAAAACUUAAAUUUAAAACUUAGUACAUAUAUGUAUACGCAAUGUGCAAUAUUAUAUACUUUUACACAUUUUUAGUUGGCGAUGUUUCUGAUACUUUGACGGUGGUAAAAAGAUAUAACAAAAAUUAUAUACUUUAAUACCAUAAAAAUAUCAGUAACAGUUUAGCAUUUUAUUUUAUAAUGUUUCAGUUUUAUAUUAUGUAUUAGUUUAAUAUUACAUUAACAUUUAGUUUAUUUUGUAGCUUGUGUGUGUAAUUCUUUUACAACUUUUAUAUGCGUUAAUUAAUUUUAUUUUAACGUUGUUAUUUACUCUUUAAACAUUAAGUAUCACAUUUAUUCUCAUUUAUAAUACUAAAAACAUCGUACUUUAAGUUGUACCGACAUUUUCCUUAUAAAACAUAUACAAAAAAAACCUGAAGCUUUGUACAAAUGUACAAUUCUAAAUUGUGUUGAUUUCUAAAAUAUAUUAUUUAUAAUUAUGUUCUGCAAAUGUUAU
This 1708-nucleotide long non-coding RNA is filed under the name Ooceraea biroi (clonal raider ant). RNAcentral's name for it is "uncharacterized LOC113563069, transcript variant X1". Lineage: Eukaryota; Metazoa; Arthropoda; Insecta; Hymenoptera; Formicidae. The record is from RNAcentral.